AUGAUGAAUAAGUCUGACUUGAAUGUACUCCUAGUUCCGAUAGCUUCAAAUAUAGUCAUAAAUAAAUUAAAUGGAAACUUAAAUUUGUUUAAUGAUAGUGAUUAUCCGUUAUUAACAUUUAAGUAUUUAACACCAACGUUUGAGUUGGUUUGUAUAGGUAUAAUGGUGUGUAACUCAAAAUUAAGGCUUCAGGACUACAUACAAAACUGGUUCAUUCCGCAAAUAAAACACAGAAGGAUAGUAAGAGAAGAUACAGAAAUACAAUUAGAUGAUAUCGACUUAUAUGAAGAGUCGGAGGUAUACUGUUUAGAAAAAAUAAGAAAAAGUUCCUGUUGUAUUAAAAAGUUGUUAAAGAGAUAUAAUACCACAGUUGUAAUUCAGUUUAAAAAAUAUGCCAGUAAAAAUGUUAGUAUUAUUACUACUCUUACUGCUCUUCCUGUUAAUAAUAAUAAUUAUAACAGCAUUUUUAGUGUAAGUAAUAAUGCAAUUGUUUCAGAUGAAUUAAAUAUAAAAUGUGUUGAAAAUACAAAUUUAAAUCAACAAAAGUUUUGUCAAAUAUGUAGAAAUAAUUACAUAUGUAAGUGUAAUAAAAUAAAAAAAAGCGAGUUAAAAAAAAAAAUUAAUUAUAUAAAACAAAAUAUAACUAUAUACAAAUCGAUUAAAAAAUGGAAUGAAAUAUAUAGUAAAAUUUUAGGACGAUGUAAAGAAAAAACAAUUGAAAAUGGAAAAAACGAUGAAAAUGUAGAAAUAAAACAAAUAUUUAACAAAAACACGGAUGGCAGUAGCUCAAAAAAUUUAAUUGAUACGAUAUUUGUAAAUAAAAACGAAUUACAUUUAUCUGAUUUUUCAGAUAUUUUAUCCAAAAUGUAUAAUAAUAUAGACGUUUCAAAUGAAUUAAAUAUAAUGUAUAAUUCGGAUGAUUCCCUUAGUAGUUGUACUAGUUCAGAACAUAAUUAUGAUACUUCAUCUGAUAUAUCUGUAGGUGAGUGUGCUUUAUUUGAACCAGAAGUGGAUUGGUGUAAUGUUGAAGAUAAUAAAACAUUUAUAAAUGAAAAAAACAAGAGCAUUUAUAGAAGCAGAUGGUAAAAAUUCAGUAAAAUCGACAAAUGAGCUUUUGGAUAAUGUUAAUGGAGUUUUAAAAAAAAGGAAUAAUACUAGUAGAGUUAAUAUAACAAAUUAUUAUGCUAACAUUAGAUAUAUAUUUAAAAACAUAAUAGAUAUAGAAAAAUUAAUAUUUCACGAAUUUGAUACUAUAACAAAAACACGUGUUGAUAUUGUGUAUGAUAUACAAAAACGUUUUGAAUUAAUUUGUCCAAGUUUGUAUGAUAAACUGCACCAAAAAUAUACUAAAGUAUGUCAACAUAUAAAUGAUCAAGUUAUGAAACAAAUAAAAACUGAGCUUAGUAGUAAUAAUAUUAUUUC
Molecule: long non-coding RNA, 1422 nt
Organism: Piliocolobus tephrosceles (Ugandan red Colobus)
Lineage: Eukaryota; Metazoa; Chordata; Mammalia; Primates; Cercopithecidae
Source: Ensembl